UUUCCGUAGGUGAACCUGCGGAAGGAUCAUUCAUAAUAAAGUGUUCUAUGGCACUUUUUAAAAAUCCAUACCCACCUUGUGUGCAAUGUUAGAUCUCGUCAAUCUUGGCGAGAUUUUUAUACAUCAACUCAUUCUUUAACUAAUUUGUCUGAAAAAUAUUAUGAAUACUUAAUUCAAAAUACAACUUUCAACAACGGAUCUCUUGGCUCUC
RNAcentral lists this unclassified non-coding RNA (211 nucleotides) under plant metagenome. RNAcentral's name for it is "partial contains small subunit ribosomal RNA, internal transcribed spacer 1, and 5.8S ribosomal RNA". The record is from RNAcentral.